GGCCGAGGCAGGGACCUGAGCCGAAAUCAAGAGUCGGACGCUCGACCGACUGAGCUGCCCAGGCGCUCCUCUAUGAAAACUAAAAUUCAAGAGAAAUGGGAGCGAUUUUUGUUGUUGUUUUUAAUGUUUAUUUAUUUUUGAGACAGAGAGAGACAGAGAAUGAACGCGGGAGGGUCAGAGAGAGGGAGACACAGAAUCAGAAGCAGGCUCCAGGCUCCGAGCUGUCAGCACAGAGCCCGAUGCGGGGCUUGAACUCACAGACCGUGAGAUCAUGACCUGAGCCGAAGUCAGAUGUCUAACCAACUGAGCCACGCAGGUGCCCCUGGGAGUGAUUUUUGAAGGUGAUGAUUUCUUUGGCUCUUCCUCCACACUGGUGCCCUGUUUGUCCAAGGCCUGUCCUCCCUUCAGCCCCCAGUCCAGUGACAGUGGAACUUUUUCAGCACCUAGAGUCUCUUGGGUGCCCGUGGACCCCCUCAACCUGCAUAGUUUAGUAUUGAAUCAGCUAUGGUCUUUUACUGUCUUGUUUGUUUUUGAGGAAUAUUACCGUUAAUUUCACAGUUCACACGUAGCUCAUCAACACUUACGGAUGAACUGGGAACAAUUUUGGGUCCCAGGAUACCUCCCCCUCUCCUGGGAUGUUUAACACUCCUACUGUUGCCCAGCUGGUGUCUGCUCGGGGAGUUCAUGAUAAUUUUAAUUUUGGCCGAAAAUGGAAACAAAGAAUCCUAUCGGUUGAACUGUUCCUUAGGGGCUUCAUGGGCCUUGUUCUCUCUCUAGUUCCUUAGUAGCCUCCUCCAGGCCAGGAACGGUGUCUCCUGUUCUCUACCUCUCAUAAGACCAAGCGCUGUUGAACAUAUUUUAAAUGUGCUGGUUGAUAUCCCUGUUGGGUGAUUUCAAAGUCAAUCUUGUUAAAGAAGCAGAAAAACAAGCCAAAAAAGCUCGGUUGGAAGGGUUUCUACUCAUAGCCUGGUUCACGUAGUCCCCGGGGCCUGCAAAUCUCCCACUGACAUAUGGCCCCAUGAUAUUUACUCUAGUGUCAGAAUCCUGGUGUAACUAUGGGCACCUUUCCUGGGUUCCAUGUUCUGGAACCUCCCUCCUCCUUAGGGAGUUACCUUCUUACCACUUACUUCUCCAAAACUACUCCCUUUGUAGCCAGAGCCAACAGAGAUGCUCCUUCCCACACUUCUUGGAAUGCCUCCAUCAGUCUCAGUUUCUACUUUAAGGAACAUACUUUGUCCAAGUAACUGGGAGGAAGGCAGAGCCUGAGCAUGAACUUCACUUUCCAGAAGGGACCCUGCCUUCUCUGGGAUAUUCUUCAUGCUGGCAGGCUGUCGGGAAGGUACGUGGGGACCCUGGGAUUUUCCUUUCGCUUUCUUGUGCUCUCAGAAACCACCCCCUGGUGACUCAGAAACAUGAAGGCUAUUAAGCAAAAGAAAUUGAAGACGAUAAAUAAGGGUGGCUCAGAAGUUGUGCUUCGAUCCUUUUAAUUAGAGUUCCAUACCUGAUUUGCCACUGAUGAGCUACCGGACAUUAAAUAAGUCAUUUUAUCUGAUACUUA
Long non-coding RNA from Acinonyx jubatus (cheetah), 1558 nucleotides. RefSeq lists it as uncharacterized. The transcript is spliced from 3 exons. The record is from RefSeq and is a predicted model, not a curated record. Lineage: Eukaryota; Metazoa; Chordata; Mammalia; Carnivora; Felidae.